GAAGUUGUCCAGGGCUCCCUGAGGGAGGCCAGCACAAGAGCUCUGCCAUAAAAGGACAUUGGACAGAAGUGAAGAGUCCAAUCAGAAACUCUUUUUGAGAGACUGAACGCAAAGCAUUCAGAGAGUCAGCAGGCUGGAGAGGCCAAGACACACACACGAAGAAGGCAGUGCCCUGUCAUCUCCUCAAAUGUUGCUCUUAUUCACUGAAGCAAGCUGACUCCCCAAUACCAUGUACAUACUGAACCCAGAAGAGGGGAGAAAAGAAGGAAGGAUUGUGCAUAGGAGUUCCUUUUGAAGAAGUGACAUGGAGGAACAGAGCCUCCUGUUUUCACCAAACCUAACAAUGAUCAGCCACACUGACUCUGAUUGAGUUAAGUAGAAAAGAAGUUUAUUAAAAGAUGACCAAGGAGCUCACAGAAACACCAGGAAAUUUUGAGAAGGUUCAGAAAACAGGGACACUCUUCUCCUCCUGCGGUUGGACUCCAGGCUCUAUGACCUUCAAACUCCAGGACUUACACCAGUUGCCCCUGGGCACUCAGGACUUCUGCUUCAGACUGACAGUUGCAGGACAGUGCAGCAUUUUAUUUUAAAGAUACCCCACAACGUAGGUGGCCAGUCCUGCUGCAGAUUGAGAGCUGUACUAGCCUGGCAUGCAGACAGCAGCUUUAGAAUCAGAUCUGCCUUCUGGCGGCUUCCCACCUAGGAGCCAUGGGACCUUUGUGAAGUCACCAAUUGUGCUGUGGAUGCUUCAUUUGUGAAGGAGAACAGGACUGCCUUGUGAAAUUACGGAUGGUGCUACUAAAACAUAUCAAUAAUUUGAAUUUCACUUUUGUGGAUGCUUUAAACAUCAUAGUCAUUAGAAGGUGGAUCUGGCUGAUUGUACUUUAAGUUUUCAGUUUGAGCUGGAGCUUUGUAUUAUAACAGGAGGGUACUGGACAAGAUGAGGAAACUGAGGUACAGAUGGGAAACUUGCUCAAGUUCACACAGCAAUUAAGUGAUCAAGUCCAAGAGCAAAACCAGGCAGGCUGGCUCCAGAGCUCACGAUAGUCCACCACUGCUUUCCACCAUCACUACGGAAUCAAGUCCAUGAGGAUACUCACCUUAUGUCAGUUGCCUAAGUUGGAAAUUAUAGAAUCUUCAAAUUGGAAGGGACGUUAUCAUCCAAGAUUUCAACUUUCUAC
RNAcentral lists this long non-coding RNA (1181 nucleotides) under Homo sapiens (human). RNAcentral describes it as "HSALNT0322747". Lineage: Eukaryota; Metazoa; Chordata; Mammalia; Primates; Hominidae. The record is from RNAcentral.